Molecule: long non-coding RNA, 1027 nt
Organism: Cimex lectularius (bed bug)
Lineage: Eukaryota; Metazoa; Arthropoda; Insecta; Hemiptera; Cimicidae
Exons: 2
Source: RefSeq, a predicted model, not a curated record
AUCCAAAGGUCAUUGCUUUACUCAAUAAUCCAAAAACAACACUUGUAAACAAAUCUUGGUUCCAUUUUGAAUGAAUAUCAUCUCAAGCCAGGGAGAGGUGAGGCACUGAAUCUCAUCAAUUUUGGACAAAUCAACUCAUAACAGGUAAAAAUUGAGAAUGGGUGAACUAAAAUGAUCAGGUUAACAACCAAUUAACCAGAAAAUUUCUUGCAGUUUUUCAUUUUUUAUUAUGUUAAUACUGUUAAUCAAGCGCGCGUGCCAGUGAAAUUCCCGGGUUGCACUAUAAAGGCCAGCCGGUAACCUUGAUACCACUGACCUAUUGGUUCAACGGCGAUGUGCUUCUAUUUUAAUAGGAGAAUUAGGAGUUUAUAUCAUGUAAUUUCAAGAGGAUAAUGUGCCGGUCCGUAAAGAAAUUGGUUUGAAUAGUUCAUUGCAAAUUAUAAAAUAUUUUAUCUAACAUGACUUCAAAACCCAUAAUUCUUGUGUGCUGAUUGUAGGAAUUUUAGUUUGGUACUGGGGUGGCCGAGAGCUCAUAAAAUUUGCACUGUGUUUGGUGGUGAAACUGUCCAAAAGUGGUUCAAAACGUUUCCUUCUGGAAAGAAGGGAUUGAAGAUGAACCAUCGUCUUGCAGACCUGUCUUGAAUGACAACAAAUUGAGGGAAGCUAUCUGCAAGACCAUAUAUAGACCCAAAACCUAUUCUUUGGAUAAGAAAAACAAUCACAGAACCCUCUAUCACUGAAUGGAUUCAAUAAAACAAAAGGAGAUGAGGAAGAAACUCCGCUGGCGCUAAAAACAGUAAACAACGCUCAACAAACUUGAACUCACUGCUACAGGUAGAGACUCAACAGGAAUGAUAGGAUUAUUCACCUAUCACAGGAUCUGAGAAAACAUCUACACAACAUGGGCAUAUUCCAUUACCCAUUUGUAGAUAAUACAAUGAGGUGUAAGAAACUGCCAACCAUGCUUCAAAUGUGAACAUCCCAAUAGAGAUAUAGCCUGGGAUACAAAAAAAAAAAAAAAAAAAAA